CUGAUGGGAGCUUGCUCCCUGAUGUUAGCGGCGGACGGGUGAGUAACACGUGAGCAACCUGCCUGUAAGACUGGGAUAACUCCGGGAAACCGGGGCUAAUACCGGAUAACCCGUUCCACCUCAUGGUGGAGCGGUAAAAGAUGGCCUCUGGCUAUCACUUACAGAUGGGCCCGCGGCGCAUUAGCUAGUUGGUAAGGUAACGGCUUACCAAGGCGACGAUGCGUAGCCGACCUGAGAGGGUGAUCGGCCACACUGGGACUGAGACACGGCCCAGACUCCUACGGGAGGCAGCAGUAGGGAAUCUUCCGCAAUGGACGAAAGUCUGACGGAGCAACGCCGCGUGAGUGAUGAAGGUUUUCGGAUCGUAAAGCUCUGUUGUUAGGGAAGAACAAGUGCCGUUUGAAUAAGGCGGCACCUUGACGGUACCUAACCAGAAAGCCACGGCUAACUACGUGCCAGCAGCCGCGGUAAUACGUAGGUGGCAAGCGUUGUCCGGAAUUAUUGGGCGUAAAGCGCGCGCAGGCGGUCUCUUAAGUCUGAUGUGAAAGCCCACGGCUCAACCGUGGAGGGUCAUUGGAAACUUGGGAGACUUGAGUACAGAAGAAGAGAGUGGAAUUCCACGUGUAGCGGUGAAAUGCGUAG
Molecule: ribosomal RNA, 642 nt
Filed under: uncultured Bacilli bacterium
Lineage: Bacteria; Bacillati; Bacillota; Bacilli
Description: bacterial SSU rRNA
Rfam family: Bacterial small subunit ribosomal RNA
Source: RNAcentral